Molecule: non-coding RNA, 471 nt
Organism: Camelus dromedarius (Arabian camel)
Lineage: Eukaryota; Metazoa; Chordata; Mammalia; Artiodactyla; Camelidae
Source: the annotation of a RefSeq genome assembly
AUGGGCUCCAGGCUCCUCUGCUGGGUGGCUCUUUGCCUCCUGGGAGCAGGCCAGGUGGAUUCUGAAGUCACUCAGACCCCAAAAUACCUGAUCAAACCAAGAAAACAGCAAGUGACACUGAGAUGUUCCCCUGUCUCUGGACACCUCUCCGUGUACUGGUACCAACAGGCCCUGGGCCAGGGCCCCCAGUUCCUCAUUCAGUAUUACAGACAGAAAGAGACAGAAAGAGGAAACAUUUCACGUCGAUUCUCAGGUCAACAGUUCGAUAACUCUAGCUCUGAGCUGAAUGUGAGCUCCUUGGAGCUGACGGACUCGGCCCUGUAUCUCUGCGCCAGCAGCCGUGACACAGCCCUGCGUGAACGACGGCCUCUUGUACAAAAACAUCCCACCCCAGCUCAGGAAGUGGCCGCGAAGGCGCUGGCUGCCCGCCAGCCGGGCCCAGGCCUUGGUAAAGCAGACAGCCUUUACUGA